This 197-nucleotide non-coding RNA is filed under the name Bacteroidota bacterium. The record is from RNAcentral. Lineage: Bacteria; Pseudomonadati; Bacteroidota.
ACCUUUGAGGACGAAUUUGGAAAUCAAGUCCCUGCGAACGGCUUGAUGCAAGGGAAUCCGGUGAAAAACCGGAGCUGUUCCUGCAGCUGUAAUCCUCUUUGAAAGAUUCGCUCCAUCCAUAGAGUCACUGAGUAAUAACUUGGGAAGACGAGCCAAUCGAGGAGAGCCAGAAGACCUGCCAAGAUUCGAUCGAUCAG